This 802-nucleotide unclassified non-coding RNA is filed under the name soil metagenome. RNAcentral describes it as "partial contains internal transcribed spacer 1, 5.8S ribosomal RNA, and internal transcribed spacer 2". The stretch from base 160 to 313 matches the Rfam family "5.8S ribosomal RNA". The record is from RNAcentral.
ACGAGUUUUAAUUGUUAGGUUAGAGUUGAGCUGGUUAAUCUAAUUAAUAUGUGCUUACUCUAAUCGAAACAAGUCCACUCAUUACUUAACACUUGUGAACUUAUUCAUUACAAACAUUAUUAUUUGUUAUUGGAACGUUUGAUUAUUAAAAGUUAAUACAACUUUCAACAACGGAUCUCUUGGCUCUCGCAUCGAUGAAGAACGCAGCGAAAUGCGAUAAGUAAUGUGAAUUGCAGAAUUCAGUGAAUCAUCGAAUCUUUGAACGCACCUUGCGCUCCCUGGUAUUCCGGGGAGCAUGCCUGUUUGAGUGUCGUGAAGUUAUCAUGGUCAUGAUCCUUAAUUAAUCAUGGCUUGGAUUUGGAGGUUUAUGUUGGCUUUCUUAAGUUGACUCCUCUUAAAUAUAUUAGCUCGGUGUCUUAAUACUUAGAGCGGUUCACGGUGUGAUAAUUAUCUACACUUCAACUAAUCUAAGUUAAGCCGGCUUCUAAUAGAUCCUUGGCGAUCACUUUGUGAAUUUGACCUCAAAUCAGGUAGGACUACCCGCUGAACUUAAGCAUAUCAAUAAGCGGAGGAAUCGGCAUCUUGGUCAUUUAGAGGAAGUAAAAGUCGUAACAAGGUUUCCGUAGGUGAACCUGCGGAAGGAUCACUAGUGAUUAAAUCGAGCGUGUCUUCAUUGACCGCUCACCCUUCUCACCAUCCACAUACACCUGUGCACUGUUUAGCCUGAGCCGGUUUUCCGGUCCAGGUUAUCAUUUCAUACAAACUCUAGUCUUAUGAAUGUAAACGUUUUAAUAACAUAAUA